AUGGCCAAAUGAGAUCCUGUGAAACCAAGAGGCAAAAUGUCCCCAUAUGCAUUCUUGGUGCAAAUCUGCCACAGGAGCACAAGAAGAAGCAUCUGGAUGCUUCUGUUAACUUCUCAGAAUUCUGUAAAACACCAUGUCUGCAAAAGGAAAGGGAAAGAUGGAAGACAUGGCAAAGGCUGACGAGGCUUAUUAUGAGAGAUCAAAACCCACACUCCCCUCAAAAGGAGAAACCAAAAAAGAAUUUCAAGGACUCUAAUGUACUCAAGAAGCCUCCUAGCCUUCUUGUUCUGUUCUGAGUACCUCCCCAAAAUCAAAGGAGAGCAACCUGGCUUAUCCAUCAGUGAUGUUGCAAAGAAACUAGGAGAAAUGUGAAACAGUUUUGCUAAGGAUGACUAGCAGCCCUGUAAGAAGAAGGCUGCCAAAGCUGAAGGAGAAAUAUGAAAAGGGGAUUGCUACCUACAGAGCUAAAGGAAAACCUGCUGCAGCAAAAAGGAAGUGGUCAAGGCUGAAAAGAGCAAGAAAAAGAAGAAAGCACAAGAUGAGGAAGAUGAAGAAUGUGAGGAAGAGGAGGAAGAAGAA
RNAcentral lists this long non-coding RNA (579 nucleotides) under Mus musculus (house mouse). RNAcentral's name for it is "long non-coding RNA chr2:15956922-15957501". The record is from RNAcentral. Lineage: Eukaryota; Metazoa; Chordata; Mammalia; Rodentia; Muridae.